GGCAAAAGCUCAAAUUUGAAAUCUGGCGUCUUUGGCGUCCGAGUUGUAAUUUGAAGAAGGUAUCUUUGGGCCCGGCUCUUGUCUAUGUUCCUUGGAACAGGACGUCACAGAGGGUGAGAAUCCCGUGCGAUGAGAUGACCCGGGUCUGUGUAAAGUUCCUUCGACGAGUCGAGUUGUUUGGGAAUGCAGCUCUAAGUGGGUGGUAAAUUCCAUCUAAAGCUAAAUAUUGGCGAGAGACCGAUAGCGAACAAGUACAGUGAUGGAAAGAUGAAAAGAACUUUGAAAAGAGAGUGAAAAAGUACGUGAAAUUGUUGAAAGGGAAGGGCUUGAGAUCAGACUUGGUAUUUUGCAUGUUGCUCUCUCGGGGGCGGCCGCUGCGGUUUACCGGGCCAGCAUCGGUUUGGAGCGGCAGGAUAAUGGCGGAGGAAUGUGGCACGGCUUCUGCUGUGUGUUAUAGCCUCUGACGAUACUGCCAGCCUAGACCGAGGACUGCGGUUUUUACCUAGGAUGUUGGCAUAAUGAUCUUAAGUCGCCCGUCUUGAAACACGGACCAAGGAGUCUAACGUCUAUGCGAGUGUUUGGGUGUAAAACCCGUACGCGUAAUGAAAGUGAACGAAGGUGGGGGCCCAUUAGGGUGCACCAUCGACCGAUCCUGAUGUGUUCGGAUGGAUUUGAGUAAGAGCAUAGCUGUUGGGACCCGAAAGAUGGUGAACUAUGCCUGAAUAGGGUGAAGCCAGAGGAAACUCUGGUGGAGGCUCGUAGCGGUUCUGACGUGCAAAUCGAUCGUCGAAUUUGGGUAU
RNAcentral lists this ribosomal RNA (800 nucleotides) under Candida albicans. RNAcentral's name for it is "LSU rRNA". It matches the Rfam family "Eukaryotic large subunit ribosomal RNA", at positions 100 to 918 of the family's 3401-position model. The record is from RNAcentral. Lineage: Eukaryota; Fungi; Ascomycota; Pichiomycetes; Serinales; Debaryomycetaceae.